Molecule: ribosomal RNA, 304 nt
Filed under: uncultured bacterium
Lineage: Bacteria
Description: partial 16S ribosomal RNA
Rfam family: Bacterial small subunit ribosomal RNA
Source: RNAcentral
CAGCAGCCGCCGCGGUAAUACGUAGGUGGCAAGCGUUGUCCGGAAUUAUUGGGCGUAAAGCGCGCGCAGGCGGAUAGGUCAGUCUGUCUUAAAAGUUCGGGGCUUAACCCCGUGAUGGGAUGGAAACUGCCAAUCUAGAGUAUCGGAGAGGAAAGUGGGAUUCCUAGUGUAGCGGUGAAAUGCGUAGAUAUUAGGAAGAACACCAGUGGCGAAGGCGACUUUCUGGACGAAAACUGACGCUGAGGCGCGAAAGCCAGGGGAGCGAACGGGAUUAGAUACCCCUGUAGUCCCUGUCUCUUAUACA